GGUCUCAUGGUGUAACGGUUAGCACUCUGGACUCUGAAUCCAGCGAUCUCGAGUUCAAAUCUCGGUGAGACCU
This 73-nucleotide transfer RNA is filed under the name Haemaphysalis longicornis (longhorned tick). It matches the Rfam family "tRNA". Rfam says of the family: Transfer RNA (tRNA) molecules are approximately 80 nucleotides in length. Their secondary structure includes four short double-helical elements and three loops (D, anti-codon, and T loops). Lineage: Eukaryota; Metazoa; Arthropoda; Arachnida; Ixodida; Ixodidae. The record is from Rfam by way of RNAcentral.